GAAGCGACCUCAGCUCAGGCGGGGCUACCCGCUGAGUUUAAGCAUAUCAAUAAGCGAGGAAAAGA
This 65-nucleotide ribosomal RNA is filed under the name Macrolobium montanum. Its description in RNAcentral is "partial 26S ribosomal RNA". The record is from RNAcentral. Lineage: Eukaryota; Viridiplantae; Streptophyta; Magnoliopsida; Fabales; Fabaceae.